CUGUCCUUAGUACGAGAGGACCGGGAUGGACAUACCUCUGGUGUACCAGUUGUCGUGCCAACGGCAUAGCUGGGUAGCUAUGUGUGGACGGGAUAAGUGCUGAAAGCAUCUAAGCAUGAAGCCCCCCUCAAGAUGAGAUUUCCCAACUUCGGUUAUAAGAUCCCUCAAAGAUGAUGAGGUUAAUAGGUUCGAGGUGGAAGCAUGGUGACAUGUGCAGCUGACGAAUACUAAUCGAUCGAAGACUUAAUCAAAA
This 253-nucleotide ribosomal RNA is filed under the name Staphylococcus aureus. Its description in RNAcentral is "partial 23S ribosomal RNA". It matches the Rfam family "Bacterial large subunit ribosomal RNA", at positions 2672 to 2925 of the family's 2925-position model. The record is from RNAcentral. Lineage: Bacteria; Bacillati; Bacillota; Bacilli; Caryophanales; Staphylococcaceae.